AUGCUUGCUUUGGCAGCACAUAUACUAAAAUUGCAACGAUACAGAGAAGAUAGCAUGGCCCUUGCACAAGGAUAACAAGUUAAAGAAACAUUUAUAAAAUUA
This 102-nucleotide small nuclear RNA is filed under the name Prolemur simus (greater bamboo lemur). The record is from RNAcentral. Lineage: Eukaryota; Metazoa; Chordata; Mammalia; Primates; Lemuridae.